UCGUCGUCCUGGAGGGGAGGGGCAGCCGGGACGGUGGCAAAUCUCCCACCAGGCGCCCUGGGGCCCUGGAGCUCCGGAGGGAGAGAGGGCAGGACUUGAAUGCUGUUGGGUGAGACGAUGUUCGGAGCUGUGGCAGCCAUCUUGCAACCCUGAGGCAGGAAGCUAAGGAAGAAGGCCACCACAGCUGAAGAUGAUAAAUAAGAAAGAGGGAAAGACUCUGGCUCAUUAGCAUCACCGAGCGUCGGACCAACCCCGGAACUGCCUCCUUCCAGAAUCUUCUUAUGCACGAUCAUUACAUGUCUCAGGUGACUGAGGCCUUGUUGUUGGAUUUUCUGUUACAAGGUGCCCAAUGCAUUCUAGUCAAGGGAAGCACCUGCUAUGUGCCCGGCACCACAUCUCUCACAAGAGUCAUGGUCAUUCGACUACACCCCAUCUCUGUCAUCAAACCCUGCGGUCCUAAAGGCAAAGGUUGUAUCUCGUAGGUCUCUGUAACCCCAGACCUUGUUACAGAUCAUGACCCACAGUGAGCCCCAACUCCACAAUGCGAAUAACAUGAACGAAUUCAUGAAUUCAAA
Molecule: long non-coding RNA, 575 nt
Organism: Acinonyx jubatus (cheetah)
Lineage: Eukaryota; Metazoa; Chordata; Mammalia; Carnivora; Felidae
Exons: 2
Source: RefSeq, a predicted model, not a curated record